This 253-nucleotide ribosomal RNA is filed under the name uncultured bacterium. RNAcentral's name for it is "partial 16S ribosomal RNA". It matches the Rfam family "Bacterial small subunit ribosomal RNA", at positions 524 to 776 of the family's 1533-position model. The record is from RNAcentral.
UACGGGGGGGGCAAGCGUUGUUCGGAAUUACUGGGCGUAAAGGGCUCGUAGGUGGCCAACUAAGUCAGACGUGAAAUCCCUCGGCUUAACCGGGGAACUGCGUCUGAUACUGGAUGGCUUGAGUUCGGGAGAGGGAUGCGGAAUUCCAGGUGUAGCGGUGAAAUGCGUAGAUAUCUGGAGGAACACCGGUGGCGAAGGCGGCAUCCUGGACCGACACUGACACUGAGGAGCAAAAGCCAGGGGAGCAAACGGG